Non-coding RNA from Myotis brandtii (Brandt's bat), 74 nucleotides. Lineage: Eukaryota; Metazoa; Chordata; Mammalia; Chiroptera; Vespertilionidae. The record is from Rfam.
GGCGGUUCUUGGAUGACGCACCGUGGAAUUGGGCUCCCCCCUCUCUGGUUCUGGUGCGUCACCCGAGAACCACA